CAGGGGAGCUGAAAAGCAGCUUCCUCAUGUUCGGCAGAAGUCAGCAGAAGCCAUAGUAGUCGGCCUGACCAGCCGAUGAAGGGC
Geobacter metallireducens GS-15 is the source of this 84-nucleotide non-coding RNA. The record is from Rfam. Lineage: Bacteria; Pseudomonadati; Thermodesulfobacteriota; Desulfuromonadia; Geobacterales; Geobacteraceae.